RNAcentral lists this transfer RNA (75 nucleotides) under Triticum aestivum (bread wheat). RNAcentral's name for it is "tRNA_LysCTT". The record is from RNAcentral. Lineage: Eukaryota; Viridiplantae; Streptophyta; Magnoliopsida; Poales; Poaceae.
AAGCCCCAUCAUGGGGCUUGAACCCACGUCCACAAGGUUAAGAGCUUUGUGCUUUACCAAACAAGCAAUAGACCC